This 430-nucleotide ribosomal RNA is filed under the name Ectinorhynchus levis. RNAcentral's name for it is "partial 16S ribosomal RNA". The record is from RNAcentral. Lineage: Eukaryota; Metazoa; Arthropoda; Insecta; Diptera; Therevidae.
GAUAAAAUUAAAUGGCCGCAGUAUUUUAACUGUGCAAAGGUAGCAUAAUCAUUAGUCUUAUAAUUGAAGGCUUGUAUGAAUGGUUGGACGAAAUAUUAACUGUUUCAUAAAAAUUUAGUUAGAAUUUUAUUUUUUAGUUAAAAAGCUAAAAUUUUUUUAAAAGACGAGAAGACCCUAUAGAUCUUUAUAAUUUAUUUAUUAUAGUUAUAUAGAUUAUUUAAAUUAUGAUUUUAUGAAUUAUUUUGUUGGGGUGACAUUAAAAUUUAAUAAACUUUUAAUAAGUUUGUACAUUGAUUUAUGAAUAAUUGAUCCAUUAUUAGUGAUUAUAAAAUUAAGUUACCUUAGGGAUAACAGCGUAAUUUUUUUGAAGAGUUCAUAUCGAUAAAAAAGAUUGCGACCUCGAUGUUGGAUUAAGAUAUAAUUUUGGGUG